GAUGAAGAACGUAGUGAAAUGCGAUACUUGGUGUGAAUUGCAGAAUCCCGUGAACCAUCGAGUCUUUGAACGCAAGCUGCGCCCGAAGCCACUAGGCCGAGGGCACGCCUGCCUGGGCGUCACACGCCGUUGCCCCCCCAUCUACUCCUUCGGGAUUGCGGGGGGGCGGAUGAUGGCCUCCCGUGCGCCUAGCCGCGCGGUUGGCAUAAAUACCAAGUCCUCGGCGACGCACGCCACGACAAUCGGUGGUUGCGAAACCUCGGUUGCCCGUCGUGUGCGUUCGUCGCGCAUCGAGGGCUCGAAAAAAUGCUCGGCUCCGGCUGGGCUUUCAACGCGACCCCAGGUCAGGCGGGGUUACCCGCUGAAUUUAAGCAUAUCAAUAAGCGGAGGA
This 391-nucleotide unclassified non-coding RNA is filed under the name soil metagenome. RNAcentral describes it as "partial contains 5.8S ribosomal RNA, internal transcribed spacer 2, and large subunit ribosomal RNA". The stretch from base 1 to 122 matches the Rfam family "5.8S ribosomal RNA", at positions 35 to 154 of the family's 154-position model. The record is from RNAcentral.